RNAcentral lists this long non-coding RNA (1065 nucleotides) under Ananas comosus (pineapple). Its description in RNAcentral is "long non-coding RNA (ACOM_LNC010357)". The record is from RNAcentral. Lineage: Eukaryota; Viridiplantae; Streptophyta; Magnoliopsida; Poales; Bromeliaceae.
UUCAUCUUCCAUAAUCCAUAAAUCCAAAUCUAUACUUACAAUACACUUAAGAUGCAUUUAGUUCGGAUAUAAGUAAGAACUGCUUAUUUCAAAGAUAGGUACAAGUUCAGAUAUAAAUAGAAAGUAGACUAAUUUUUCGUUUAAAUAAAAAUAGAAUUGUUCCUAGAAAUAAUAAAAUGAAUAGUAUUUGUAUGGUUACAUUGGAACAAAAGAAACUUAUAAUUUUAAAUUAAAAUUAUUUUAUCUAACUAAUUAACAUCAAAAUAUUACUUAAAAAUAAUAAAUUAAUAUUAAUAAUCAUAAAUAAUAAAUUAAUUAAAAAUUAUAACUAAUAUAUAAUAACAAAUUAUUAAUAAUUAAAUUAUAAAUUAUUAAAUAAUAACAUAAAUUAUAAAUAAUAAAAUUAUUAAUUAAUAAUAAUAUUAAUAUAUUAAAAUUAAUUAAUAAUAAUAAAAUAUUAAUUCAUUAAUUAUUAAUAAUUAUUAAAUAAUAAUCAAUUAAGUAAUAAUAAAUUAAAUAUUUAAUAAUAAUAAAUUAUUAAUAAUUAUAAAUUAACAAAUUAAUUAAUUAAUAUUGAAUUAAUUAAUUAAAUAAUUAUUAAUAAUUAUAAAUAAUAAUAAAUUAAAUAAAUCAAGUAAUUAUAAUUAAUUAAUACUAAAUUAAAUAAAUAAUUAAUUAAGAAUAAAUUAAUUAUAAAUUAAUUAUAAAUUAAUUAAUUAAUAAAUUAAGUAAUUUUUAAUAAUUAUAAAUAAUAAUAAUUUAAUUAAUAAUUAUAAAUAAUAAAUUAGUAUAUUAUUUUAUUAUUUAAACAAAAUUUAAUGAUUUAAAUAUAUUAUUUAAAUUAAUUAAUUAUUUAAUACCAUAAUUAAAAUUAUUUUUAGACUUUAGUCAACGUUAUUCUUACCUGGGAACAAGCUUGUUAUCGGAAAAAGGUGGAACAGCAGUUCUAGCUUUAUACCGGCUUAUUUCAGAAACCCGAGAACUACUGUUCUCGGGUACCUAACGCAGUGUUUGGGAACAAAGGGGGGAACAAGAGUUUAUUCCCUCUCUUGUUUCCGAACUAAA